CAGCUCUGGGCAGAGCUGUAGCAGUCUCUACGUCUCUAUCUAGUAUCAGUCUUUCGUCCCUUACAAAUACUGAAUUGUGUCGACUGGAUAAGCAUAUGGGUGCUGAAAACAAACGUACAGUAAACUUUGCAAUUCUUUAGCGGAUAAUUAGGAAAAUAAGAUGCAGAAUGAUCUCUUGGGGUGGUCUCUGUUUUGUUACGAGUUUGGAUCAGAGCACGCUAACAAGACUGCUUUUUUCAGGAUAUCGCCUCUCCAGAAGUCGGUAUUGCUACCCUGUUGGUUCUUGAGUUUUUGUUGUAACUCACAGCGUUAUUAUCGGAGUCCUAGUGUACACUUUCUGAACCGCAGCAUUUGAACCUCUGCAGAAUAUUUGGAAACAUAGCUGUCAUCUAUUCCAUAAACCGAGCAAUGUUAUUAUCUGCUUGAACUGUAUUCUCAGUACAAGAUUUUAACGUAUUUUUGAAAGUUUUCAUCUCGGAAGCACUUUUAUUGAAGUCAAUGAGAAUACUGCUAUGUAUAAAUAUUUCUUGGAAUCAGGCCCAGGAUACCUAUCCUGCUUUCUUUUUGAUAUUUCUUACAUGAAACUCUGAGAAUCUUCUGAAACUCUUGAGCAUCUUCUGUCACUGGGUGUGGUACAUAAAUACUCUUCUAAGCUCUUCCAUGGUUCUACCGGAGAGUUUUCAACCAAUGGCACAAUAUAAUAAAAACAAAUUAUUCGUCUUCUCACAUUGCUAAAUAUAUGCUAAAGAUGCUAAUCAUUGAUUGACUUUGGCUGUUUAAGACCUAAGUUUUAGCUUGUGCAUAUUUCAGCCAGACCACCUACCGUAUUCUCGGAGACACUCCUGCUUUCUCCCCCAAACUCUUCACUUUGACAACAGAGCGUGUUACUAAAUAACGCUGCAAGUCAAGUGACUGUCAACCAGCAGCCAGUGAAGUCUCCUCAUCCAUACCAGCUGAUAACCUAGCUGAAGCCGUAUGUGCAUUUAAGCCUUUGAAAGGAUCUCAUUCUGAAAGGAUCUAUUCUGUCACAGAGCUUAGCACAUUUACUCAUAUGUAUGGUGGCAAAUACGUCUGUGCAGCAAACCUUCUCCAAGAACUGCAUACUGGAAUAAGUUUUAGUUUGAAUUGUUCAGUGGAACAAAUUCCUGUAUCUUUGUCCUUCUGUAUUAAUACAGGGGCAUAUUUUGUCUAAAUAAAUGGACACAGUUCUCUGUCUGAUAAUCGUUCAUUAAACCAACUUAUGUGGCAUCAUUUGACUGGCCUUUCCAGGCCUGAGGAAUGGCUCUUGUUAGAUAUGUUCUUUUCAGACUAGCCUGAACGAGUAGAGUUGACAUGCCAUUGAAAUAUGCUGUCUAUCCACUCAGCUAUUAGCUAUAUCAUAAUAUCACAAUAUCAUCCUAAACAGAAUAUGUAGCUAGUACUUGGUUGACUAAUCAGUCUUUGCUGAUACAAGUAAAAUGAAAGAAAUUAAUAAUAUUCAUAAAUAUGCCUCAAAACACAUGCUUUGUCCAUGUUUCUAAUUAGGAAGAGCACAGAAGGAGAAAAACUCUUCGUCCUAAGAAAAUCUAAUUUCCUUAAAAGGAAAUUGAAUUUUAAAUUGUAUUUUGUUAUUUCAGUUUUUUUCUCUCAGCCAUGUCCAAGAAAAACACUCCGUUGACUUUAAAAAAUAAUAAUAGCAAAAAUCCAAGGGAUAAGGUCUUUGCUUCAUAGUUAAAAAUGAAGUUGUCUCUGGUCAAGAUAUUCUUGGUUAUAGGGGUGGUGCAAAAAGUGUUAAAAACCUCUCUUUGUUAUAUUACCAAUAAAUGCUAUCAUUUUAUUUUGCUAUAUUGGAACAACUGCUCUAGAGAAGGGCUCGUGUUAGACAUUAUAGAUGACAGAAUUUCAGGCAAGUCUGAAGAUAAUUAUCAGGCAAAAUAGAACAAAUUUACCCUAAACAGUUCAUUGGCUCACAACUUACCAGUUGGCUAAGUCUUAAGAUCUUUAAAGGAAAGCGGAUGCCUAGCAGUCAUAUGAUGAAAUAGCUGGUGGAUAGUUGUAGGAAGUUACAUAAGUUUUGGAUUUUACAAAAUAAAAAAUGCAACUGCCUAGUAUUAGCAGCCCAUAGAUGAAUGCUAUGGUUAACCAACAUACUACUUAAUAAUGCUAAAGUGACUGUAUUGCUUAUGCUAAAAUGACAGUUUAUCACACAGACACAAAAAACAAAUUAAAUUCAAUGCACACAAAUAAUUUCUCAUUUAUUCAAACAAACAUAGGUCAUAACUACCAUUCAUUUCCAAAGCAAAUUUGCAAAAAAAAGAGACAGAAUUGCCUUAAAUUUUCUUCCACAAACUCCCCUCCACCCCUGCAAAAAAAAUCCACAAAUACUUAAUGUCCCCAAACAUUUGGUUCUGGCAUCAAUCCACAACAUUUUCUAAGUAUUCAUUAAUGGUAUUAAGUUUGUAUGGCAGCAUUAUGGAAAGCAAUCAGCACUGUGUGUGAGUUCCUUUGAACUGAUAUCUCAAGCAGUAGAUGAUAAUGUUAUUAUUUUAAAUUAGGAGCUGAACCAUUUCUUCAUCUGCAUAUAUAUGUCUUAUGUAACUUUUAUUCCAGGCUACUUGCUGUAAAAAUCAUUAUUCUUUCUAUGUUAUUCUGAAACCAUGGACAUCUACAAGAUUCAAGUGUGAUGUUAUCAGUUUUUUUCUUAGGUAUUUGGCAGUUGUCAAGGGUUUUGAAACAAGAUUGAUACAUUUUUUUGCUUCCUUGUCAAACAGUUCAAACAAUUGUUUUAUAUGACGGAGUCAUUAAACACUUCACAUCACUUUAAAGCAUGGAAGUAGUCAUUUUGGCUUCAGCACUUGAAGUUACAUGCUGAAUCAACCAGUCCCCCACUGAAGCAAUAUAUAUUCAUGCAAAAUUGGAGGAAAAAGUCAUAUCCCUCUCUCCACAAAACAGUAUAAAAUGCCUGAACUUAAUAUAAAGCCUAGUGUUUUUUAUGAAGACCAUUCACAGUUAUUUGAAAACCAAGUAUUAAAUAUGUGGUUGUCAAGUAGAAUAAGGAUUCCGUGUCUGCCCUGGUACGAUAACAAACAAAAUGAAUGGAGGAAGGGCCAUGAAUGGUUCACUCACGGCUACAUACAUAAGGCACAACUAUGUCUGCCUUAGGGAAAGGCAGGGUUCCUACUUCUGUAAGUUGAGCUGCAUAAAAUUAGUUUUUGUUUAUAUUGCCCUGACCCCCAUAACAAUAGGAGUGAGUCAGCAGUGAAGGCAUUUGAAAAAUCCUGACACAUUUUACAAAACUAGUGGUAUUCCUUACAGAAAUACAUUACCUGAGAGGUUGGCAGAAAGACCCUUUCGUCUCUUCAUGUUGAUGGUUUGAUUCUUGCUAUGUAAGUAGAACAGUGUAGUGGUUAUAUUAAAUUGAUUAGCAAAUCACAGCCCAGUGUCGAGAAGAUGGCAAUCUCAUUACAAAAGUCCUUUGCAACUGGUAGUUUAAGCAGUGAGGCCAAGACUUUCUCAUCCCUAUAUGAGCUCUCCCAAAGCAGGAUCAUGAUACAUUGUCAAGCUGUUGGCUGCUGACUCUGUUAGGCCUGCCAUGUGGAUUAAUAGAAGCCUAUUGAUACAUUACCAUUCAUGGUGAAAAAAAGUCUCUAAAAUAGAACUUAUUAUUACCUCUGUGCUUUGAAAUGUUUAAGUUGAUUUGCUAAGCAACUUGAAAACACUGUCCUGGACAGGGAGUGAUAUAGCUUGGUAGUAGUCACUUAUUCCGUGAUAUGCUGUUGGUUUGAGUAUUUGCUUGGAUUGCCAAAGCACACACGAAAGACACCAGCUGCUCAGGUCUAUCAGCAUGUGCUUGUUUUCUCUGCUUUCAGGUACAGUAGGUAGAAUUACUAUCUAUUGCAUAAUUUCACAGGUACUUUGGAUUUCACUGGGAAAUUUGAUGAGAAAGUUUAACAAGUAGAAACUGAGAAAGUUUUACAAGUACCAUACAUGUAGUUAGAGUCUUUAUAUACUGACAUGAAAUCAGUAACUAGGAGCAUGUUUUACAAUUGCAAAAUAUGCCUUUAAAGAACUAACACCGUGCCAGCCAUAUGGUAUGGCCUCAUUUGCUGCCUAAUCCUGAUAUUUCCUCAAAGUAGUCUCACCCAUGCUUUUUUGAUUUUGUUUACAGAAUAUAUUUACCAACUUUCAACAGUUCUAAAAAACAGGUAUUAUAUAACAGGAACCUGCAGAGAUCACCUGUUGAAAUCCUUUUUCUAAACAUGAAGAACAUAAUUGUUUUAUGUACAUAAAUAGCAUGUCACACAAUUUUUAAAUGAAUUGUUAUAUGUGGAUAAACUACCCAGGACAAGAAAGAACUAUUACUUAACCGUUCACAUCAGUUAAUGUAUGAUCUUAAAAAUGCAAUCUGAAAAACAUUAUUUAAAAUAUUUACAUAAUAGUUACCAGUUGGUACUCUGAUCACUUUUGUGUUCACAUCUGGCUUUUCCAGGCAGCAGCUAUUCCAUUGCAUUGCUGGAGCUUGAGAUCUGUGAAUGAAAAACAGUAGUAUCAUAAUAACUGAAAUGUAAAACUAAUACAAGCAAAAUAAGCAAUUAAUAUGAAUAUAAACUACAUCUGUACUAAUGCAUAAAGUUCAAGAAAGAAUGCAGAGCAAUUGGAAAUCUUCAUACAUGAGACAGUUGCAUGGCUGCUACUACUGAGAUUUGCUACAGGAGUUACAUGAUUGAAAUGUUGAAAUCAUUGGUGGAGACCUGUUUAGAAAGGACACGUUGGUAAAAUGGGGACAGUGGUUGAUUUUACACCGUUAUUGACAGCUCAAAGGUCAGAUGUUUUCUCUGGUAAAUGACUGGAUAAAGCACUGGUGGAAAACUUUUUUAAGACAGUCAGUUCAGAUUUAAAAGCCAAUGCAUUAAGAUGCUCAUCUCUUCUCUAAAACACCAAAAGAAAAACUGUUACCCAGAAGUGCAGUUACAAAGAUAUGUGCUAGAGGACUUGAGUCAACCACUGCAAUGGCUUUGGAUUUUCUACAGUUCCCAGCUAUCACUUCCUUUGCUACCAAAGUAGUGUAAGAAAUGAGCAAUUCUUUAUGACGUCUCAUUCUGGUAAUGCUCGUGUAAAUAUAAUUGCUAAAUUAGCAGUAAGUACAUUUAAGUUAUCAAUGAUCUGUUAAUGUCUUCUGUGCAAAUUGAACACAUACCUCUCUGGUAAUAGAUGUACUUAACAGUGUGAAAUCACCAGUUUCCCCAAGAAGAAAUUAUUAUUGCAGGGAGACAAUUAUGAGAAAAUGGAAAUAAAACAUAGCUAUGUUACAAUACCGAAAAAUCGAAACCAAACUGAAAAAAUAAAAGCUCAAAUUCCUUACUUUUGAAAAAAUGGCUACUUCCAACAAACACACUUUACUACAACAAUAAAGGUCUGAAGCAUGUUCAAUAUCUAAACAAUAAAAUAUU
Struthio camelus australis is the source of this 5429-nucleotide non-coding RNA. The record is from RefSeq and is a predicted model, not a curated record. NCBI's taxonomy places the organism in Eukaryota, Metazoa, Chordata, Aves, Struthioniformes, Struthionidae.